RNAcentral lists this ribosomal RNA (449 nucleotides) under uncultured bacterium. RNAcentral's name for it is "bacterial SSU rRNA". It matches the Rfam family "Bacterial small subunit ribosomal RNA", at positions 355 to 825 of the family's 1533-position model. The record is from RNAcentral.
UGGGGAAUUUUACACAAUGGGGGAAACCCUGAUGUAGCGACACCGCGUGAACGAAGAAGCCUUUUGGGGUGUAAAGUUCUGUCGGCUGGAACGAAAAAAUGACGGUACCAGCAAAGGAAGCAUCGGCUAACUACGUGCCAGCAGCCGCGGUAAGACGUAGGAUGCAAGCGUUGUCCGGAUUUAUUGGGCGUAAAGAGUUCGUAGGCGGUUAUUUAAGUCUGAUGUUAAAUACUGUGGCCCAACCACAGAACUGCAUUGGAUACUGGAUGACUUGAGUGCGGUAGAGGCAAGUGGAAUUCCCAGUGUAGCGGUGAAAUGCGUAGAUAUGCGGAGGAACACCGAUGGCGAAGGCAAUCCCCUGGACCUGUACUGACGCUCAUGCACGAAAGCGUGGGGAGCAAACAGGAUUAGAUACCCCUGUAGUCCCUGAGCGGGCUGGCAAGGCGCAU